RNAcentral lists this ribosomal RNA (253 nucleotides) under uncultured bacterium. Its description in RNAcentral is "partial 16S ribosomal RNA". It matches the Rfam family "Bacterial small subunit ribosomal RNA", at positions 524 to 776 of the family's 1533-position model. The record is from RNAcentral.
UACGGAGGGGGUUAGCGUUGUUCGGAAUUACUGGGCGUAAAGCGCGCGUAGGCGGACCAGAAAGUUGGGGGUGAAAUCCCGUGGCUCAACCCCGAAACGGCCUCCAAAACUCCUGGUCUUGAGUUCGAGAGAGGUGAGUGGAAUUCCGAGUGUAGAGGUGAAAUUCGUAGAUAUUCGGAGGAACACCAGUGGCGAAGGCGGCUCACUGGCUCGAUACUGACGCUGAGGUGCGAAAGUGUGGGGAGCAAACAGG